RNAcentral lists this ribosomal RNA (1486 nucleotides) under uncultured Bordetella sp. Its description in RNAcentral is "partial 16S-23S ribosomal RNA intergenic spacer". It matches the Rfam family "Bacterial small subunit ribosomal RNA". Lineage: Bacteria; Pseudomonadati; Pseudomonadota; Betaproteobacteria; Burkholderiales; Alcaligenaceae. The record is from RNAcentral.
GGUUCGAUUAUGGCUGUCAAGAGUGAACGCUGGCGGUAGGCCUAACACAUACGUCGAACAGCUGCCCAACACGUCACGACUUGCUCUUAUGGGUGGCGAGUGGCGGACAGGUGAGAAUACCCAUCGGAAUCUACCUUUUCGUACAGGGGAUAACGUAGGAAACUUACGCUAAUACCGCAUACGACAACCCGGGUGUAGCAGGGACGGGCCUUGCGCGGAUAGAUGAGCCGAUGUCGGAUUAGCUAGUUGGCGGGGUAAAAAGGCCCGCAAGGCGACGAUCCGUAACUGGUCUGAGGAUGAUCAGCCACACUGGAACUGAGACACGGAUCAGACUCCUACAGGAGGCAGCAGUGAAGGCUAUUGGACAAUGGGCGCAAGCCUGAUCGAAAUACCGCGUGGGUGAAGAAGGCCUUCGGGUUGUAAAGCCCUUUUGUUGGAGCUUAAUCGGCUAAUACGGUUGUUCUGACGGUACCCAAAAGAAUAUUUCCGCUUCAACGCGUGCCAGCAGCCGCGGUAAUACAGAAGAGGUGCAGCGGUCUCAGGAUGCUGGGCGUAAAGCGUGCGUAGGUGGUUGUUUAAGUCUGUUGUAGAAAGCCCCUGGGCUCAACUGGGAAUUGCAGUGGAUACUGGGCGACUAGAGUGUGGUAGAGGUAGUGGAAUUCCCGGUGUAGCAGUGAAAUGCGUAGAGAGAUCGGGAGGAACAUCCAUGGCGAGGCAGCUACCUGGACCAACACUGACACUGAGAGCACGAAAGCGUGGGGGAGCAAACAGGAUUAGAUACCCUGGUAGUCCACGCCCUAAACGAUGUCAACUGGUUGUUGGGAAUUAGUUUUCUCAGUAACGAAGCUAACGCGUGCAAGUUGACCGCCUGGGGAGUACGGCCGCAAGGUUGAAACUCCAAAGGAAUUGACGGGACCACCACAAGCGGUGGGUGAUGUGGUUUAAUUCGAUGCAACGCGAAAAACCUUACCCACCUUUGACAUGGCGAGAUCCCGAAGAGAUUUGGGAGUGCUCGCAAGAGGGAACCGGAACACAGGUGCUGCAUGGCUGUCGUCAGCUCGUGUCGUGAGAUGUUGGGUUAAGUCCGCAACGAGCGCAACCCUUGUCAUUAGUUGCUACGAAAGGGCACUCUAAUGAGACUGCCGGUGACAAACCGGAGGAAGGUGGGGAUGACGUCAAGUCCUCAUGGCCCUUAUGGGUAGGGCUUCACACGUCAUACAAUGGUCGGGACAGAGGGUCGCCAACCCGAGAAGGCCAAACCCAGAAACCCGAUCGUAGUCCGGAUCGCAGUCUGCAACUCGACUGCGUGAAGUCGGAAUCGCUAGUAAUCGCGGAUCAGCAUGUCGCGGUGAAUACGUUCCCGGGUCUUGUACACACCGCCCGUCACACCAUGGGAGUGGGUUUUACCAGAAGUAGUUAGCCUAACCGUAAGGAGGGCGAUUACCACGGUAGGAUUCAUGACUGGGGUGAAGUCGUAACAAGGUAA